Molecule: ribosomal RNA, 429 nt
Filed under: Chloroflexota bacterium
Lineage: Bacteria; Bacillati; Chloroflexota
Description: Chloroflexi bacterium partial 16S ribosomal RNA
Rfam family: Bacterial small subunit ribosomal RNA
Source: RNAcentral
UGGGGAAUAUUGCACAAUGGGCGCAAGCCUGAUGCAGCCAUGCCGCGUGUGUGAAGAAGGCCUUCGGGUUGUAAAGCACUUUCAGCGGGGAGGAAGGCGAUAAGGUUAAUAACCUUGUCGAUUGACGUUGCCCGCAGAAGAAGCACCGGCUAACUCCGUGCCAGCAGCCGCGGUAAUACGGAGGGUGCAAGCGUUAAUCGGAAUUACUGGGCGUAAAGCGCACGCAGGCGGUCUGUCAAGUCGGAUGUGAAAUCCCCGGGCUUAACCUGGGAACUGCAUUCGAAACUGGCAGGCUAGAGUCUUGUAGAGGGGGGUAGAAUUCCAGGUGUAGCGGUGAAAUGCGUAGAGAUCUGGAGGAAUACCGGUGGCGAAGGCGGCCCCCUGGACAAAGACUGACGCUCAGGUGCGAAAGCGUGGGGAGCAAACAGG